AAUGCUGCACAUUACCGAAGCUUCUAUUAAAAACUUUUUGCUUUUGCCAUUAUUUUAAGGGAUGGAAAGAUAUAGAAACUUUUAGUUUUGUGUUCAACAUUCUCCACAAAGAUUGCCAACAUACAUAAGCUUCACAUUACCAUCUGUAACAUAGACUUGGAAGUACAUGAAGUUGAACCACUGCACUACAAAAAGCAUAUCAACAUGUAGAGCAUCAGGUGUCUCUGAACAAGGAAUGAAGUGAUCCAGCAUAGAUUAAGUCUACCACCACUAAGAAUCUUCAUCCCUUAAAGUCUUACUUAAUCUAACAUUAGAAUCUUCAUCCCUUAAAGUCUUACUUAAUCUAACAUUAAAAUCAAUACUUAGAUCCUUCCAGGUUUAUGUGGUAUCGGUAAUGACAUAUAUAGACCAACAAGAAUCCUACCAACAUCCCUCUUCUAUUUAGGUGAAUAAAACCUAGGGUAAACUCCACAUAGACCUCUUGUGGUAUGAUAUUUUCUCACAUAACACCCAAAGGUUCUUUUUUCCCAAAUAAAACCUUGUGUUUUACUAUUGUUGCUAUAGGGGGUAACAGUGUUAAAUUUUCACUAAAAAGAUAAAGAUCCUUAAUUUUCACGAGAAAGACGAUAAGACCCUUAUAUCUAAAGGCCUUAUUUUU
Molecule: long non-coding RNA, 658 nt
Filed under: Theobroma cacao (cacao)
Lineage: Eukaryota; Viridiplantae; Streptophyta; Magnoliopsida; Malvales; Malvaceae
Description: long non-coding RNA (TCAC_LNC001486)
Source: RNAcentral